Molecule: ribosomal RNA, 498 nt
Filed under: uncultured bacterium
Lineage: Bacteria
Description: partial 16S ribosomal RNA
Rfam family: Bacterial small subunit ribosomal RNA
Source: RNAcentral
GAUGAACGCUGGCGGCGUGCCUAAUACAUGCAAGUCGAGCGAACAGAUGAGGAGCUUGCUCCUCUGACGUUAGCGGCGGACGGGUGAGUAACACGUGGAUAACCUACCUAUAAGACUGGGAUAACUUCGGGAAACCGGAGCUAAUACCGGAUAAUAUAUUGAACCGCAUGGUUCAAUAGUGAAAGACGGUUUUGCUGUCACUUAUAGAUGGAUCCGCGCCGCAUUAGCUAGUUGGUAAGGUAACGGCUUACCAAGGCAACGAUGCGUAGCCGACCUGAGAGGGGGGUCCGCCAACAGUGGACCGAACACACGUCCAGGCCCCAGAGGGGGGCAGCAGGGGGGAAGCCUCCAGAAAGGGGCAAAGCCCGACAGGACAACCGCCGGGGGAUGAAUAAGGUUCUGAGAAUCUAAAAACUUUUUUAUAGGGAAAAAAAAAAUGGGUAAGAAACUAUGCGCUUCUGAAGGGACCCUAAUAAAAAGCCCAGGCCAAAUUACGCC